RNAcentral lists this long non-coding RNA (371 nucleotides) under Homo sapiens (human). RNAcentral describes it as "HSALNT0293020". Lineage: Eukaryota; Metazoa; Chordata; Mammalia; Primates; Hominidae. The record is from RNAcentral.
UCUCAUACUCAUAGUUUGAUCUCUUUCUGCCUAGCUCUCAUGUCUGUCUCUGGAUUGUUUCAAAUCCUAAGAGAAAAGGAAUAUCAUUUAUUGCCUCUUGCAAAGUAAAUACUCCUCUAUUUAACUGACGGGAUGAACCAAUGAUGUCAUUUAACAGUUUGUUUGUUGGUGAUCUCUACUGCUGAAAUCUCAUUAACAUACACAUUUACUCCUUUGAUCUUCACGAUAAUCCCAUGGAAUUGGCAAGUAAAAGGCAUUAUUGACAUUUUACAGACUGUGAACAAGAUGCCACCCCCAAAUGAUGUAGUCAAUGGUUCCCAAUGGUGAUGAAUUAGUAGUAUUCAAGAUCCACGCAUUGCUCAAGAUAUUUG